This 433-nucleotide ribosomal RNA is filed under the name uncultured bacterium. Its description in RNAcentral is "partial 16S ribosomal RNA". It matches the Rfam family "Bacterial small subunit ribosomal RNA", at positions 29 to 507 of the family's 1533-position model. The record is from RNAcentral.
AACGAACGCUGGCGGCAUGCCUAACACAUGCAAGUCGAACGGGACCUUCGGGUCUGGUGGCGCACGGGUGCGUACCGGGUGGGAACCUGCCCUUAGGUUCGCAAUAACUCGCCGAAAGGGGUGCUAAUACCGGCUAAUAUCUCCGAACCAAAGAUUUAUCGACCUUGGAUGGGCCCGCGUUGGAUUAGUUGGUUAGUAGGGUAAAAGCCUACCAAGGCGACGAUGCAUAGCUGGUCUGAGAGGAUGAUCAGCCACACUGGGAGUGAGACACGGCCCAGACUCCUACGGGAGGCAGCAGUGGGGAAUAUUGGAAAGUGGGGGAAAGCCUGAUCCAGCAAUGCCGCGUGAGUGAUGAAGGCCUUAGGGUUGUAAAGCUCUUUUACCCGGGAUGAUAAUGACAGUACCGGGAGAAUAAGCUCCGGCUAACUCCGUG